Molecule: non-coding RNA, 26 nt
Filed under: Homo sapiens (human)
Lineage: Eukaryota; Metazoa; Chordata; Mammalia; Primates; Hominidae
Source: RNAcentral
ACACACACUUGAUUGUUCUGGAUGAA